UACGUAGGGACCAAGCGUUGUUCGGAUUUACUGGGCGUAAAGGGCGCGUAGGCGGCGUGACAAGUCACUUGUGAAAUCUCUGAGCUUAACUCAGAACGGCCAAGUGAAACUGUUGUGCUAGAGUGCAGAAGGGGCAAUCGGAAUUCUUGGGGUAGCGGUGAAAUGCGUAGAUAUCAAGAGGGACACCUGAGGUGAAGACGGGUUGCUGGGCUGACACUGACGCUGAGGCGCGAAAGCCAGGGGAGCAAACGGGA
This 254-nucleotide ribosomal RNA is filed under the name uncultured prokaryote. RNAcentral describes it as "partial 16S ribosomal RNA". It matches the Rfam family "Bacterial small subunit ribosomal RNA", at positions 524 to 777 of the family's 1533-position model. The record is from RNAcentral.